CGCAAUUCAUCGAGUUCCUUCUCCGCCUCUGUUUCAGUCGACACCCCUUGCAAAGUUCCGCCUCUGUUCCCGUACCCGUAGAAUCUGAUUCCCCUCGCAAAUUAUCAACAAAUACUGAGGAUGAGAUUCAUAAUCUCUUAGAUCAGCUGAAUCUGUUUUCACGAUUACAAAUGGAGAAAGAUUAUUAGUUGUGAUUUUGUAAAUGAGUCAAUUUUGUUGUGCCUAUUAUUAUUGAAGAGUCGAUUUAGUUUUGCACAAUAUUUCUAUUUCAAUAUUAUCGCGUAUUCGUUGUAUAGUGUUCAAUUCUAAGAGAACUAUAUAUAACAGGAGGGGGGAUUACCAGUC
Diospyros lotus (date-plum) is the source of this 345-nucleotide long non-coding RNA. RefSeq lists it as uncharacterized. The record is from RefSeq and is a predicted model, not a curated record. NCBI's taxonomy places the organism in Eukaryota, Viridiplantae, Streptophyta, Magnoliopsida, Ericales, Ebenaceae. The transcript is spliced from 2 exons.